UUGCACUGGUUCGGAACCUGGUUCAUGGAUCAGUAUGAACAGGGUUUAAAUCCAGUGUUAGAUGAAACUUCAGUGAGGCAGGGGAGCAGUAUACCCUUUGCUGUGUCCCUGUUCACUCUCUGGGAACAUUG
This is a small nucleolar RNA of Hucho hucho (huchen), 131 nucleotides long. The record is from Ensembl. Lineage: Eukaryota; Metazoa; Chordata; Actinopteri; Salmoniformes; Salmonidae.